GUGGCUCAGCAGUUAAGAGCACUGGCUGCUCUUCCAGAGGUCCUGAGUUCAAUUCUCAGC
RNAcentral lists this transfer RNA (60 nucleotides) under Cricetulus griseus (Chinese hamster). Lineage: Eukaryota; Metazoa; Chordata; Mammalia; Rodentia; Cricetidae. The record is from Rfam by way of RNAcentral.